RNAcentral lists this ribosomal RNA (161 nucleotides) under uncultured bacterium. RNAcentral describes it as "partial 16S ribosomal RNA". It matches the Rfam family "Bacterial small subunit ribosomal RNA", at positions 1340 to 1500 of the family's 1533-position model. The record is from RNAcentral.
AAUGGCAGGUCAGCAUACUGCCGUGAAUACGUUCCCGGGCCCUUGUACACACCGCCCGUCACACCAUGAGAGUUGGGAAUGCCCGAAGCCUGUGAGCUAACGUUAAGAGGCAGCAGUCGAAGGUAGAAUCAAUGAUUGGGGUGAAGUCGUAACAAGGUAUC